RNAcentral lists this ribosomal RNA (275 nucleotides) under uncultured bacterium. Its description in RNAcentral is "partial 16S ribosomal RNA". It matches the Rfam family "Bacterial small subunit ribosomal RNA", at positions 523 to 796 of the family's 1533-position model. The record is from RNAcentral.
AUACGUAGGGCGCAAGCGUUGUCCGGAUUUAUUGGGCGUAAGGGGCUCGUAGGCGGUUUCGUAAGUCGGGUGUGAAAACUCAGGGCUCAACCCUGAGACGCCACUCGAUACUGCGAUGACUUGAGUCCGGUAGGGGAGCAGGGAAUUCCUGGUGUAGCGGUGAAAUGCGCAGAUAUCAGGAGGAACACCAUUAGCGAAGGCGCUGCUCUGGGCCGGUACUGACGCUGAGGAGCGAAAGCAUGGGGAGCAAACAGGAUUAGAAACCCUAGUAGUCC